GACAGAGGUCCCGAGCGUUAGGCGGAAUCACUGGGCUUAAGGCGUGUGUAGGCGGAGUUGUAAGUACCUUGUGAAAUCCCACGGCUUAACCGUGGAACUGCUUGGUAUACUGCGACUCUUGGGCCAGCUAGGGGCUACCGGAACAAGUGGUGGAGCGGUGAAAUGCGUAGAUAUCACUUGGAACGCCAAUGGUGAAAACAGGUAGCUGGGGCUGUGCCGACGCUGAGACACGAAAGCCAGGGGAGCGAACGGGA
RNAcentral lists this ribosomal RNA (254 nucleotides) under uncultured prokaryote. RNAcentral's name for it is "partial 16S ribosomal RNA". It matches the Rfam family "Bacterial small subunit ribosomal RNA", at positions 524 to 777 of the family's 1533-position model. The record is from RNAcentral.